RNAcentral lists this ribosomal RNA (267 nucleotides) under Bacillus subtilis. RNAcentral describes it as "partial 16S ribosomal RNA". It matches the Rfam family "Bacterial small subunit ribosomal RNA", at positions 1184 to 1450 of the family's 1533-position model. Lineage: Bacteria; Bacillati; Bacillota; Bacilli; Caryophanales; Bacillaceae. The record is from RNAcentral.
GUCAAAUUAUCAUGCCCCUUAUGACCUGGGCUACACACGUGUUACAAUGGACAGAACAAAGGGCAGCGAAACCGAGAGGUUAAGCCAAUCCCACAAAUCUGUUAUCAGUUCGGAUCGCAGUCUGCAACUCGACUGCGUGAAGCGGAAUCGCUAGUAAUCGCGGAUCAGCAUGCCGCGGUGAAUACGUUCCCGGGCCUUGUACACACCGCCCGUCACACCACGAGAGUUUGUAACACCCGAAGUCGGUGAGGUAACCUUUAUGGAGCC